Molecule: ribosomal RNA, 228 nt
Filed under: Triticum aestivum (bread wheat)
Lineage: Eukaryota; Viridiplantae; Streptophyta; Magnoliopsida; Poales; Poaceae
Description: partial small subunit ribosomal RNA
Source: RNAcentral
AUGAUCAUGCCAAAAUAUAAAGGAGGCAUGGGCUUUCGUGAUACGCAUGCGUUUAAUAAAGCUUUUCUAGCCAAGCAGGCUUGGCGCCUUCUGGAGUCGCCGGACAGUUUGUGUGCAUGACUUCUACGUGCAAAAUACUAUCCCAAUGGGAAUUUGAUGGACACGAUUUUUGUUGUCAACAUCUCUGCGGUGUGGCGUGGUAUCGAGCAUGGUCUUGAAUUGCUUUAA